AUGUUGCGGAAGUUUUGGUGGGGGAGCAGAAAUGGCGAAAGAAAAGCAGCUUGGGUGUCAUGGGAUGUCCUCACAAUGCCAAAAUAUAUGGGGGGUCUUGGUUUUCGGGAUACUCAUCUGUUUAAUCUUGCUAUGCUUGCCAAACAGGCUUGGCGCCUAACUCAAGAUACAGAGUCCUUGAGUGCUCGAUUAUUGAAAUCUGUAUAUUACCCCGAGUGUGUUGUUUUGGAAUCUGAUCUUGGAAAGAAUCCCUCUCAAAUUUGGAGAGCGAUCUAUGAAGGGAAAGAA
This 288-nucleotide ribosomal RNA is filed under the name Triticum aestivum (bread wheat). RNAcentral describes it as "partial small subunit ribosomal RNA". The record is from RNAcentral. Lineage: Eukaryota; Viridiplantae; Streptophyta; Magnoliopsida; Poales; Poaceae.